Non-coding RNA from Delphinapterus leucas (beluga whale), 510 nucleotides. NCBI's taxonomy places the organism in Eukaryota, Metazoa, Chordata, Mammalia, Artiodactyla, Monodontidae. The record is from RefSeq and is a predicted model, not a curated record.
CAAACAAAAUUAGAAUCGCCUUGUUACCUGAAGGUUUGCAUAUUUUAAAAUAACUUUUUUUCUAUUUCCAAAAGAAAUACAUGUUCACUUUUUAAAAUAAUGAUUUAGACAAUACAGAGAAGUAACCGUAAGAUAAAUUAAUCCUUCGUCCCACUGGCCAGAAUUAAUUGUUGAUUAGCACUGAUGGCUGCGAACAUUCACUUGGUGCUUACUCUUAUUAAGGAAUUGUCAUGUCUAGGGCUUCCCUGGUGGCACAGUGGUUAAGAAUCCGCCUGCCGCUCUUUUCUCAUCCCCCAUCCUAUGUGUGGUUGAAUUUGCUCCUCGCCGUGUCUUCUCACAAGACUUUCAGGAUCAAGCGAUUCCUGGCCAAGAAACAAAAGCAGAAUCGUCCCAUUCCCCAAUGGAUUCGAAUGAAAACUGGUAAUAAAAUCAGGUACAACUCCAAGAGAAGACAUUGGAGAAGAACCAAGCUGGGUCUAUAAGGAGCUUCACAUAUGAGGUGGCACACAU